Molecule: ribosomal RNA, 252 nt
Filed under: uncultured bacterium
Lineage: Bacteria
Description: partial 16S ribosomal RNA
Rfam family: Archaeal small subunit ribosomal RNA
Source: RNAcentral
GUCCAGCUGUAACGAUGCAGACUCGGUGAUGCACUGGCUUGUGGCCAGUGCAGUGCCGCAGGGAAGCCGUUAAGUUGCCGCCUGGAAGUACGUACGCAAGUAUGAACUUAAGGAAUUGGCGGGAGCACCACAAGGGUGAAGCCUGCGGUUCAAUUGGAGUCAACGCCAGAAAUCUUACCCGAAGAGACAGCAGAAUGAAGGUCAAGCCGGAGACUUUACCAGACAAGCUGAGAAGUGGUGCAUGGCCGUCGC